This 330-nucleotide ribosomal RNA is filed under the name Triticum aestivum (bread wheat). Its description in RNAcentral is "partial small subunit ribosomal RNA". The record is from RNAcentral. Lineage: Eukaryota; Viridiplantae; Streptophyta; Magnoliopsida; Poales; Poaceae.
AUGGGUACGCCCCCUCCAGCAACUUCCAUGAACAAAACACAGCCGACUAACCCAUCAGCACCUCUGGAGCAAUCGCGGAAGCAGUUGAAUUUGGAUCAGCAAAAAGCAGCGUUUGUAACUUCUUGUGAAGAGCAACAUCCACGUCGACCUUGGAUGCCCAAAAUGGAUUUUCCCCGUUUUGAUGGAAGUGAUGUGCGCAUAUGGCUCGAUGGAUGCGAAGCAUAUUUUUCCUUAUAUGAGAUACCUGAAUUUUUCAGAGUCACUUCUGCUUCUCUGCAUAUGUGUGGCGAUGCAGCCAAUUGGUUUCAUGCGUACAAGUUAACUCAUUAG